GACGAACGCUGGCGGCGUGCCUAAUACAUGCAAGUAGAACGCACAGUUUAUACCGUAGCUUGCUACACCAUAGACUGUGAGUUGCGAACGGGUGAGUAACGCGUAGGUAACCUGCCUGGUAGCGGGGGAUAACUAUUGGAAACGAUAGCUAAUACCGCAUAAUAUUGAUUAUUGCAUGAUAAUUGAUUGAAAGAUGCUAUUGCAUCACUACCAGGUGGACCUGCGUUGUAUUAGCUAGUAGGUGAGGUAACGGCUCACCUAGGCGACGAUACAUAGCCGACCUGAGAGGGUGAUCGGCCACACUGGGACUGAGACACGGCCCAGACUCCUACGGGAGGCAGCAGUAGGGAAUCUUCGGCAAUGGACGAAAGUCUGACCGAGCAACGCCGCGUGAGUGAAGAAGGGUUUCGGAUCGUAAAGCUCUGUUGUAAGAGAAGAACGGGUGUGAGAGUGGAAAGUUCACACUGUGACGGUAUCUUACCAGAAAGGGACGGCUAACUACGUG
This 505-nucleotide ribosomal RNA is filed under the name uncultured bacterium. RNAcentral describes it as "partial 16S ribosomal RNA". It matches the Rfam family "Bacterial small subunit ribosomal RNA", at positions 28 to 507 of the family's 1533-position model. The record is from RNAcentral.